Long non-coding RNA from Mytilus californianus (California mussel), 1906 nucleotides. RefSeq lists it as uncharacterized. The transcript has 2 exons. The record is from RefSeq and is a predicted model, not a curated record. Lineage: Eukaryota; Metazoa; Mollusca; Bivalvia; Mytilida; Mytilidae.
AUAAGGGUCAAAUGCAGUUUUUGGCUUAUAUCUCAAAAACUAAAUCUUUUAGAGCAAAUGUGACAGGAUAAAAUUGUUUAAUUGGUCAAGAUCUAUCGGCCCUGAAAUUUUUAGACGAAUCGAACAACCCAUAAUGAUUGUUGGGUUGCUGCCACCGAAUUGGUAGUUUUAACAAAAUUUUGCAGUUUUUUGUUAUUAUUUUGAAUAUUAUUAUAGAUAUAUAUAAACUGUAAGCAGCAAUAAUGUUCAGCAAAGUAAGAUCUUCAAAAAAAGUUAAUAUGACCAUAAUUGUUAAUUGACCCCUUAAGGAGUUAUUGCCCUUUAAAGACAAUUUUACACAAUUUGUUCAUCAAGUUUGCUAACAUUUAAAAAUCUUCUCCUCUGAAAUGCAGGUGAGCGAUUCAGGCUCUUGAGAGCCUCUUGUUAAUGGUGAGAAACUGAAUAUUGGUUUAUCUGCUUGUAAAGAUUUUAAUCCAAAUAAAUUCAAGGUGUAUUUGAAAAGAUGUCUACAAAAGAUUUUUUUUUUGAAACAUGGAAACAUAUCAGAGAUACAUUUUCGGGUAACAGCGGAAAACUAAACAUAUACUUUGAAUUUAAAUAUUCUUUUAAUUAUGAAAAUUACUAAUCUAUAAAAACAUAGACAUGAUAGAAUUCUUACAAAAUUUAGAAUAGAUAACCAUAGUUAAGAAUCGGAACUGGGAGACAUGAACGAAAGACUAAUAAAUCUGGAAAGCAGAAAAUACUCCCAAGAGGUGAAAUACUCUGCUAAGAUUGCACACCAAGUAAGGUAGAGGAUGAAAUCCAUUUUAUGUUCACAUGUCCUCUUUAUUCUGUAGCAAGAAUGAUAUUCUUCUACAAUAUUGUCACAAGGUUUUCCAAUGUGUCCAUUCUAAAUGUCCAAGCUUUAUCAAUUUGUAUGAUGACCGAUACAGAUAUAGAUUUCAAUAUUUCCAUGGGUGACUAUUUAUCAAAAUCUUUGAAGUGAGGAGAGAAUCUCAUCAGAAAUAUAAAUUAUCUGUCAUUGUGUAUUUGUGACUGGUAAUCAUAUAAAUGUUACAUGUUGAUAAAGUUUUUUGUUUUUUGUUUGUUCAGUUGAAUAAAACUAAGAGUUAUUCCUCUUUAUACAACUGGCUCUCUCUUCCUACUAAUGGUAGUGUAUUUCGUGUGGUUUUUUUUUUAUUAGAGUAACUUAAAAUCAUAACUUAUCAAUAAGAAUGUUUAACACAUUGUGUAUGUGCCUAUCCCAAGUCAGGAGUCUGUAAUUCAGUGGUUGUCAUUUGUUGCUGUAUAUCAUAUUUGUUUUUCGUUCAUUAUUUUGUACAUAAAUCAGGCCGUUAGUUUUUUCGUUUUAUUUGUUUUACAUUUGUCAUUUCGGGGUCUUUUAUUGCUGACUAUGCGGUAUGGGCUUUGCUCAUUGUUGAAGGCUGUACGGUGACCUAUAGUUGUUAAUUUCUAUGAUACACAAGCACAAUUUGCUCACGUGAAUCUCACAUGAAUCUCACAUGAAAUUCAUCUGAAAAUUUUCAAGUGAGAUUCACCUCAAACAAGCUUAUAGUUACAUGAAUUUCACGUUAACUUUACAAAAUAAAAAAUUGGUAAUUUCAUGAUUUCGAUUAACUUUGAAAAUUUCGAUUUUAUUUGAAUUACUUCACGUAUAAGCUCCUUUGGGUUGAAAUUCACGUGAGAUUCACUUGAAUGUAAAUCUGGUGUGAGAGAAAUUUCCCUGUGUACUAAUUGAAAUGCCCUCUUUGGAAUAAAAGAUAUUUGUAUUUCUAUACGUCAUUUGUAUUGAUGCUGCAAUAUUUUAACAUGGAAAGUUAGUAAUUGUGUUUAUGAUGAUUUGAAUGUGCUUUUUCUUUAUUAUUAUUAAUGUAUUACAAAUAUUAAAAUUAAAUUUGCCAUGAUA